AAUUUUAUAGUUUAUUUAAAAUAUUAAAUUGCAAUUUUAAAGAAUUAGUAAUUUAAUAAAAUUU
This 64-nucleotide transfer RNA is filed under the name Gastraspis sp. ZJUH_2016016. RNAcentral describes it as "tRNA-Cys". The record is from RNAcentral. Lineage: Eukaryota; Metazoa; Arthropoda; Insecta; Hymenoptera; Figitidae.